GUGAAUCCAUGUUCACGUCUCACAAUAUCAACAUCAUAGCAUAUCUAACCGUGUUAAAUGGGGACGCCGUAUUGAUUGGAAGCAAAUGUGGAUCUGAUAAUCCGUCAUCGUGAUUUUCUUUCUUAUAAUAUCUAGUGCAAUUCUGUCUGUGCCUGUGUAUUUUUUCCGUCUUGGUUUUGUAAGGUUUAUUUUACAUAUUUCAUCACAUGUAUUUCAACAGGGAUCAACCAUUCUAAUAUCAGCAAAAGCUAACAGCAACUUUUUCCAUUUCCAUGGCCACAUAAUCUUCAUCUUUCUUCUCAUCCUCUGAUUUCUCAACCUUCAAUUUCUUAAUCCCCACAGAUGUCUGCUUUGUCAUUCGUGCAAACAUGUUUGAGUAGAGUUUUGCAUCUCU
This 394-nucleotide unclassified non-coding RNA is filed under the name Hevea brasiliensis (rubber tree). Lineage: Eukaryota; Viridiplantae; Streptophyta; Magnoliopsida; Malpighiales; Euphorbiaceae. The record is from RNAcentral.